This 399-nucleotide ribosomal RNA is filed under the name uncultured bacterium. Its description in RNAcentral is "bacterial SSU rRNA". It matches the Rfam family "Bacterial small subunit ribosomal RNA", at positions 355 to 771 of the family's 1533-position model. The record is from RNAcentral.
UGGGGAAUAUUGGACAAUGGGCGAAAGCCUGAUCCAGCAAUGCCGCGUGAGUGAUGAAGGCCCUAGGGUUGUAAAGCUCUUUCGGCGAGGAAGAUGAUGACGGUACCCGCAGAAGAAGCCCCGGCUAACUUCGUGCCAGCAGCCGCGGUAAUACGAAGGGGGCUAGCGUUGCUCGGAAUCACUGGGCGUAAAGCGCACGUAGGCGGCUUUCUAAGUCAGGGGUGAAAUCCCGGGGCUCAACCCCGGAACUGCCUUUGAUACUGGAGAGCUUGAGUUCGGGAGAGGUGAGUGGAACUGCGAGUGUAGAGGUGAAAUUCGUAGAUAUUCGCAAGAACACCAGUGGCGAAGGCGGCUCACUGGCCCGAUACUGACGCUGAGGUGCGAAAGCGUGGGGAGCAA